UACACUCGCUUAAGAAAAAACUGGGAUGCUUUCAUCACACCUUGGUUCUUCACGUGAGAAAUUAAACCUAAGUGAAGAUUUUAGAAAUUUCUCUUUUUCAUCAUCGACACCCUAAACCUAAACGCUCUUUUCAUCGACGGCACCCCCUCCCUGAUUGAUACCCAUGCCUUUUAUCCUUUCUGAUCCCUACGUCUUCUUUGCCUGUGAUUUUUAGGUAUAAUUGACCAACUACUUUGUUUUGUUUGUUGCAGAAAUUAAUGAAAUUCAAGGGUUUGUGGUCGCUGUUGGGUGAAUGAAUUGAACAGGGAACUGAAUUUCCUCCAUGAAAUAGGUUGAGGAAGAAUUGGUUUCUCAAGAUUAGGGUUCUGAUUUUUCUUUUACAGAAGUAGGUAGAUAUGUACAUAUUACUGAAUUAAGGUUUGUAAAUAGGAUAUAAUCAUGUCCACUACAGGUACUGUAUCUGUUCAUUUCCACCCAAUUGCUAAAACUUGUGGUUCUGAAAAUGAUAAAUUCAGUGUGAUACAUCCAAAAUUGGAGUUUCCAAGGAGCAAAUUUCUCAGAUUCAAUCUUUGCUCAACCAAUAAUACUCGAAAGGGAUGUGUUGGGAGAGUAAGUGUUGUACCAGAAGAUGAAGAUUUUUUUUGGGAGAAAGCGUUAACGCCUUUACUUCAUAUGGUUGAGACUCCGGUGCAUUUGAAGAAUUUGUCUAUCAAGGUUUUGGUUUAUGAAUUUUUGAGUCUGGAGCUAUGUAGGUUGAAGUUCUUUUACUAACUAGAGAUGAUUACGAUGUAUGAGUUAAAACAAUUAGCUGAUGAGAUCCGUUCAGAGUUAUCUUUUAUAACGUCGAAGAUGCCUCGACACUUCAAAGCCAGUCUAGCAACAGUGGAGCUGACCGUUGUGUUACAUCAUGUUUUUGAUUCUCCAACGGAUAAGAUACUGUGGGAUGUGGGUCAAUAGAUAGGAAUUUACUUUAUCAUGUUCUUGGGCUGAAUUUCAGCUGAAAUAUGUGCUGCUGUGAUUGAAUUUCUGUGGUUGUUUACAGGAUUUGAGUUGGGUUUGUAUGGAUAGCAACAUGGCCUGAACUGGUCACUUAAUGAUAUCAUGACAAUGCAUCUAUGUAUAAGGUAUGGUCCCUUUUAGCAUGCUGGUCACUUAAUGAUAUCACGAGCUCGCACUUUGAAUGGCAGGAGUUCCAAUACCUCACGUAUAGCCUUAUAGCUAAGCAAUAACAUCUUUCGUACCUUAAUUAUUUGAAGUACGAGACAUGCCGAGACCAGUGUGAAAAUCCUAAGUCGCUUAAAUGUAGCCGUUCGGUUUCUACAAAAACUUCAAUCACUGAAUUGUAAGUUGGACGCAAUGACUUCUUGGUUAGUCUCAUUUUUUACUUUCAUUUAGUCUUAAUCGAUUCAUAUUUUUUGGCGAAAAAAAAAAGGUUACCAUAUUGUAUUUAAAUGACAUCUGCUUAAAUGAGUUCUAGGGUAGAUCAUAGGUAUAAUGUUGUCAUUGUUGAGAAGUUAAUUUUUUUUACUGGAAAUCAUAUUUUUCCUUACAAUCUCAUUACCUCAACUUGACAAAUUUGACGCAUAAGUGCAGUUCAUUUACACAACCUGAAUGAUAUAGAUUAAUGAAGAAUCAACUCAGCAGCAAGUGAAGCAGCUUACAACAAGCAUAUCCGGUGCUCUAAGAAAAGGAUUGAGCUUGGAUUUAAAAUCAGAACGGGCAUAAUGGUUCAUGCUACCUACUAUGGAAUCGGAAAUGAUAAUUUGGGGAACAAGGAUGGAGCUGAUGCUGAAGAUAAUGAUAUUGGAAUAGAAAGCACCUCUGCAGUUUAUAGGAUCGGUGGUAGUGGCUACAAUGAGGUAGAAUCAAUCGCAGCUGAAGUUAAUGUGAAUGGUGUUAAGUAGAGAACUCCAUUGUGAGGAAAAUGAAUGAUAAAAAUGAUUCAACUCAAAUUACAGAUGAUGUUAAUGCUGCGGAAGUUGUUUUGGAAAGGCUAAGAGAGGUGUGGAUUCCACUAUAGCUAAUUCCCAAGUGUUUUCUCAAACAAGGAAAUGAGAAAUGAUUGAGAACGAGAAGAGAUUAAGCCCACAAAAUACUAAGCCCAGUGAUGACUGUGCAAUAUAGGCCCAUUUUAUAAACCAUCGGCAGUUUUUGGCACCGAACACUAGCAUCAAGGCAAUGUCUUUUGAGAUACAUUACUUAUGCUGGUGUCCGAAAUUAGAUUGGAAAGCAAAGGCCAUUAAUUCUUUAGGUUUUUCAUUUCCGACAUUAAUCUGUUGUUCCAAACCAAAAUAAUAUCUUUAAUCACACCAGAUAUUGGGGUACACACAAAUUUAUUGGUAUGUUGCAUUGCCUAUAGCCAUUAAUGGCUUUUAUUAUCA
Papaver somniferum (opium poppy) is the source of this 2381-nucleotide long non-coding RNA. RefSeq lists it as uncharacterized. Lineage: Eukaryota; Viridiplantae; Streptophyta; Magnoliopsida; Ranunculales; Papaveraceae. The transcript is spliced from 4 exons. The record is from RefSeq and is a predicted model, not a curated record.